This 1371-nucleotide unclassified non-coding RNA is filed under the name Hevea brasiliensis (rubber tree). Lineage: Eukaryota; Viridiplantae; Streptophyta; Magnoliopsida; Malpighiales; Euphorbiaceae. The record is from RNAcentral.
CUCUCGUCGUUGUAACGCAAUAUCAGUCUGUACGGUGCUGGCUUCGAAGAUAAGAACACGGCCCUUUACCCUCUCUCGGCUCAGCAGAACACGACAUUCCCGCAUACACACCACAGAAGCAAAGCGAGCCUCAUUAGAUUUCUGAACUAGGAGAUCAAGAAGAAGAAAAAAACGAUGUCGUGGCAAACAUAUGUAGAUGAUCAUCUUAUGUGCGAAAUCGAGGGCAAUCAUCUCUCUGCUGCCGCCAUCAUCGGCCAAGACGGCAGCGUUUGGGCCCAGAGCGCCAACUUCCCUCAGUUCAAGUCUGAAGAAAUCACUGGCAUUAUGAGUGAUUUUCACGAACCUGGAACGCUUGCUCCAACUGGAUUGUACAUUGGUGGCACAAAAUACAUGGUGAUCCAAGGCGAGCCAGGAGCUGUCAUUCGGGGGAAGAAGGGCCCUGGUGGUGUUACUGUUAAGAAGACUAAUCAGGCCUUAAUAAUUGGUAUCUACGAUGAGCCAAUGACUCCAGGGCAGUGCAACAUGAUUGUUGAAAGGCUUGGCGAUUAUCUCAUUGAUCAGGGUCUUUAAUAUCUAUAUAUGUCCUUCUAUUUGUUGCAAUUUUCUUGGCUUCCAUACAAGCUUGCAUUUGCUUACCAGCUGUCAGAACGGCUAAAUGCAGAGAAAUAAUGUUAUGAAAUAUUAAAAGUCAAGGAAAACACUGUGUGGAAAGAAAAGGUUUGGUGCUUGUUAAAGUGAAUUGAUAUGCUGAUCAUUUUGUUGUUGUACUAGUUUGAUUAUGGUAUUGGAUGAUUGCCGAGUGAAAUACUGUCUAAACUACAGUGGAUUUCAUCUGAUGGAUGUGGUAAUUUGAUUGGUAUAAACUUUCAAGUAAUUCUGUCUAUGUGCUGUGCCUAAUUUUUGUCGGUCAUUUGGGUUUUUUUAAUUUUUCUUCCUCCUCCUCCCUCACUGUCUAUCCUUUCUUGCUCGACCUCUCAGUUUUUCUGGAUGGCUUUACGGUCUGUCCCUGUAGACUCAAAUUGCGGUAGAAAUUGAACUAGAUGUUAUAGGAUUAGGGGAGAUUGCAACUUACAAAUCUUGCCUUCGAAAUAGUGCUUUUCAAUAAGCUGGACUUCUCUUUCUAGCAUGGACAAUGGCGAGAUGGGGUUAUUGCUAGAGCAUAUCCUCUUGUUCCAGUUAACUUCCCUUGUAUUGUUUGGUGGAGAAAUGAUAAGGUCGUGGUAGGUAUGAAAAAGCUGAAAAACUCUGAGCAAUAACCUUGGUGCUCAUAUGGACUAGUCCUUAAUGCCAUUUAGGGGUACUUGAAUGGUUUGUAAGGGGGGAAAAUUUUCGAGUUCAAAUUCGAGUCCAAUGAUAAUAAAAACAAUAAUU